UUUAAARGGRUGCSKUAGGUKGUUUGRWWAAGUCARSCGGKGAAAGUUUGCAGCUUAACUGUAAAAAAUSCCGUUGAAAACUGUCGGACUUGAGUGUAAAUGAGGUUAGGCGGAAUGCCGUGRUGUAGCGGUGAAAUGCAUAGAUAUCWCGCAGAACUCCCGAUUGCGAAGGGCAGCUUACUAAGCUACAACUGACAMUGAAGCACGAAAGCGUGGGGGAUCAAACAGGAUUAGAUACCCUGGUAGUCCACGCAGUAAACGAUGAUUACUAGCUGUUUGCGAUACACAGUAAGCGGCACAGCGAAAGCGUUAAGUAAUCCACCUGGGGAGUACGCCGGUAACGGUSAAACUCAAAGGAAUUGACGGGGGCCCGCACAARMGGAGGAACAUGUGGUUUAAUUCGAUGAUACGCGAGGAACCUUACCCGGGUUUGAACGUAGGGAGACAGGAGUGGAAACAUUCUUUUCAGCAAUGACUGCCUACGAGGUGCUGCAUGGUUGUCGUCAGCUCGUGCCGUGAGGUGUCGGCUUAAGUGCCAUAACGAGCGCAACCCUUAUUUCCAGUUACUAACAGGUCAAGCUGAGGACUCUGGAGAGACUGCCAGCGUAAGYUGKGAGGAAGGUGGGGAUGACGUCAAAUCAGCACGGCCCUUACAUCCGGGGCGACACACGUGUUACAAUGGUAAGGACAAAGGGCAGCUACCGGGCGACCGGAUGCGAAUCUCUAAACCUUUYUCAGUUCGGAUCRGAGUCUGCAACUCGACUCCGWGAAGCUGGAUCGCUAGUAAUCKYKCAUCWGAKAUAWUAUCSKCCCAAARAA
RNAcentral lists this ribosomal RNA (819 nucleotides) under uncultured bacterium. RNAcentral's name for it is "partial 16S ribosomal RNA". The record is from RNAcentral.